Molecule: transfer RNA, 93 nt
Filed under: Caenorhabditis elegans
Lineage: Eukaryota; Metazoa; Nematoda; Chromadorea; Rhabditida; Rhabditidae
Description: Unclassified non-coding RNA C28A5.10
Source: RNAcentral
AAAAAAAGAAUAAAAAGAUUCUGGAGGUAUGGGGAAUUGAACCCCAGCCCUCUCCCAUGCUAAGGGAGCGCUCUACCACUGAGCUAUACCCCG